UGGGGGAUAUUGCACAAUGGGCGAAAGCCUGAUGCAGCGACGCCGCGUGGGGGAUGAAGGCCUUCGGGUUGUAAACUUCUUUUGCUCUGAACAAGGCGCACCAUGGGGUGUGUUGAGUGUAGGGGUUGAUUAGCGCCGGCUAACUACGUGCCAGCAGCCGCGGUAAUACGUAGGGCGCGAGCGUUGUCCGGAAUUAUUGGGCGUAAAGGGCUUGUAGGUGGCUGGUUGCGUCUGUCGUGAAAGCUCACGGCUUAACUGUGGGUUUGCGGUGGGUACGGGCUGGCUUGAGUGCAGUAGGGGAGGCUGGAAUUCCUGGUGUAGCGGUGGAAUGCGCAGAUAUCAGGAGGAAUACCGGUGGCGAAGGCGGGUCUCUGGGCUGUUACUGACACUGAGGAGCGAAAGCAUGGGGAGCGAACAGG
RNAcentral lists this ribosomal RNA (419 nucleotides) under bacterium. Its description in RNAcentral is "partial 16S ribosomal RNA". It matches the Rfam family "Bacterial small subunit ribosomal RNA", at positions 355 to 776 of the family's 1533-position model. The record is from RNAcentral.